RNAcentral lists this ribosomal RNA (432 nucleotides) under uncultured bacterium. RNAcentral's name for it is "bacterial SSU rRNA". It matches the Rfam family "Bacterial small subunit ribosomal RNA", at positions 28 to 507 of the family's 1533-position model. The record is from RNAcentral.
GACGAACGCUGGCGGCAGGCCUAACACAUGCAAGUCGAGCGAACCCUUCGGGGUUAGCGGCGGACGGGUUAGUAACGCGUGGGAAUAUACCCUUUGGUACGGAAUAGCCUCGGGAAACUGAGAGUAAUACCGUAUGUGCCCUUCGGGGGAAAGAUUUAUCGCCAAAGGAUUAGCCCGCGUUGGAUUAGAUAGUUGGUGGGGUAAUGGCCUACCAAGUCUACGAUCCAUAGCUGGUUUGAGAGGAUGAUCAGCAACACUGGGACUGAGACACGGCCCAGACUCCUACGGGAGGCAGCAGUGGGGAAUCUUAGACAAUGGGCGCAAGCCUGAUCUAGCCAUGCCGCGUGGACGAUGAAGGCCUUAGGGUUGUAAAGUCCUUUCAGAUGGGAAGAUAAUGACGGUACCAUCAGAAGAAGCCCGGCUAACUCCGUG